RNAcentral lists this unclassified non-coding RNA (479 nucleotides) under Hevea brasiliensis (rubber tree). The record is from RNAcentral. Lineage: Eukaryota; Viridiplantae; Streptophyta; Magnoliopsida; Malpighiales; Euphorbiaceae.
GGCUUCUCUACAGGUCAAUCUUUUUGUUCUUUAUACUUUAUGUUCUGCUUGUCUUUUGAAUUAGAGGCUUGUCUUGGUAAAAUUCAAUGAACUGGGAAGGUUUAGGGAGGUCUGUAUAACUUGUAUUUGCCUGGCAUUUCAAAUCUUACCAUUCAUGCAUUUGCUAGUGCUUCAGAGUAAAUUUCAUUACUUUGAGCACCAUGGUUAUGAGCCAAAUAUAAGCUAUAAGUUAGAUCAAAAUAAUGAGAUUUAGUGUAGUUCUGGUGAAUUGGUUAGUUUUGCAGUAAGUUCAAAUUGGUUUUAUUUUAUUUAGAAUGACAAUAAAAGGGGGAUUGAACUAGGCCUGAUGGGGUGUACCUGAACACUGCUCUGUCUAGUGUCUGCAUUUCAGUCUUAGAAAUAGCAUAUUGGGAAAGAUUUGAAUGCUUCUCUGAUGAUCUUGAAAUAAUGCAGGGCCAAGAUCACGGGCUACACACUGG